Molecule: small nuclear RNA, 116 nt
Filed under: Echinops telfairi (small Madagascar hedgehog)
Lineage: Eukaryota; Metazoa; Chordata; Mammalia; Afrosoricida; Tenrecidae
Source: RNAcentral
GUGCUUGCUUGGGCAGCACCUACACUAAAAUUGGAACUAAAAUUGGAUACAGAGGAGAUUAGCAACGGCCCCUGCGCAAGGAUGACACGAAAAUUCGUGAAGCGUUCCAUAUUAAA